GGGGCUGACUUGGAUUUCGACAGAUUUCUUGUCGCACAGAUAGCAUGCCAAGCGCUGCUUGUAAAACAGCAACAAAAAUAACUGUAAACAACGCAGAUUACGCUCCAGCUUACGCUAAAGCUGCGUGAGUUAAUCUCCUUUUGGAGCUGGACUGAUUAGAAUUUCUAGCGUUUUAAUCAUUCCAUAACCUUAAGCUAGACGCUUUUAAAAGGUGGUUCGCCUUUUAAACUAAGAAACAAGAACUCUUGAAACUAUCUCAAGGUUUUAGAAAGUUGGACCAGAGCUAGUUUUAAGGCUAAAAAGCUAACCAAUUUUCUAAGCAUUGUAGAAGUUUGUGUUUAGGACAAGAUUUUUGGACUGGGGUUCGAUUCCCCACAGCUCCACCA
Molecule: transfer-messenger RNA, 386 nt
Filed under: Helicobacter pylori
Lineage: Bacteria; Pseudomonadati; Campylobacterota; Epsilonproteobacteria; Campylobacterales; Helicobacteraceae
Also listed under: 1 other name
Rfam family: transfer-messenger RNA
About the family: Bacterial tmRNA, also known as 10Sa RNA or SsrA, is named for its dual tRNA and mRNA-like properties. Its role is to liberate the mRNA from a stalled ribosome.
Source: RNAcentral